This 157-nucleotide ribosomal RNA is filed under the name uncultured bacterium. RNAcentral's name for it is "partial 16S ribosomal RNA". It matches the Rfam family "Bacterial small subunit ribosomal RNA", at positions 355 to 509 of the family's 1533-position model. The record is from RNAcentral.
UGAGGAAUAUUGGUCAAUGGCCGAGAGGCUGAACCAGCCAAGUCGCGUGAGGGAAGAAUGUCCUAAGGAUUGUAAACCUCUUUUGUCGGGGAGCAAAAAGGCUCUGCGGAGUCGUAUUGAGAGUACCCGAAGAAAAAGCAUCGGCUAACUCCGUGCC